CAUAGCGAGGAAAAGAAACUAACAAGGAUUCCCCUAGUAACUGCGAGUGAAGAGGGAAGAGCUCAAAUUUGUAAUCUGGCAGUCCUUGGCUGUCCGAGUUGUAAUCUAGAGAAGUGCUACCCGUGCUGGACCGUGUACAAGUCUCCUGGAAUGGAGCAUCAUAGAGGGUGAGAAUCCCGUCUUUGACAUGGACUGCCAGUGCUUCUGUGGUGUGCUCUCAAAGAGUCGAGUUGUUUGGGAAUGCAGCUCUAAAUGGGUGGUAAAUGCCAUCUAAAGCUAAAUAUUGGCGAGAGACCGAUAGCGAACAAGUACCGUGAGGGAAAGAUGAAAAGAACUUUGGAAAGAGAGUUAAACAGUACGUGAAAUUGCUGAAAGGGAAACGCUUGAAGUCAGUCGCAUCAGCUGGAAAUCAACCUUGCUUCUGCUGGGUGUACUUUCCAUCUGAUGGGUCAGCAUCAAUUUCGAUUGCUGGAUAAAGUUCUUGGGAAUGUGGCAUCUUCGGAUGUGUUAUAGCCCUUGGAUGGAUACAGUGACUGGGAUUGAGGAACUCAGCAUGCCACAAUGGCUGGGCCUUUUGGCUACACCACAUGCUUAGGAUGCUGGCAUAAUGGCUUUAAUCGACCCGUCUUGAAACACGGACCAAGGAGUCUAACAUGCCUGCGAGUGUUUGGGUGGAAAACCCAUGCGCGCAAUGAAAGUGAUGGUUGAGAUCCCUGUCAUGGGGAGCAUCGACGCCCAGACCAGACCUUUUGUGACGGAUCUGCGGUCAAGCAUGUAUGUUGGGACCCGAAAGAUGGUGAACUAUGCCUGAAUAGGGUGAAGCCAGAGGAAACUCUGGUGGAGGCUCGUAGCGAUUCUGACGUGCAAAUCGAUCGUCAAAUUUGGGUAUAGGGGCGAAAGACUAAUCGAACCAUCUA
RNAcentral lists this ribosomal RNA (917 nucleotides) under Inocybaceae sp. Its description in RNAcentral is "partial large subunit ribosomal RNA". It matches the Rfam family "Eukaryotic large subunit ribosomal RNA", at positions 47 to 946 of the family's 3401-position model. Lineage: Eukaryota; Fungi; Basidiomycota; Agaricomycetes; Agaricales; Inocybaceae. The record is from RNAcentral.